Molecule: ribosomal RNA, 96 nt
Filed under: Monilinia laxa
Lineage: Eukaryota; Fungi; Ascomycota; Leotiomycetes; Helotiales; Sclerotiniaceae
Description: partial 28S ribosomal RNA
Source: RNAcentral
CGUUACAGGUUCUCGGUGUGCUUCUGCCAAAACCCAAAUUUUCUAUGGUUGACCUCGGAUCAGGUAGGGAUACCCGCUGAACUUAAGCAUAUCAAU